UACGUAGGGGGCAAGCGUUAUCCGGAUUUAUUGGGCGUAAAGAGCUCGUAGGCGGUUUGUCGCGUCUGCCGUGAAAGUCCGGGGCUCAACUCCGGAUCUGCGGUGGGUACGGGCAGACUAGAGUGAUGUAGGGGAGACUGGAAUUCCUGGUGUAGCGGUGAAAUGCGCAGAUAUCAGGAGGAACACCGAUGGCGAAGGCAGGUCUCUGGGCAUUAACUGACGCUGAGGAGCGAAAGCAUGGGGAGCGAACAGG
RNAcentral lists this ribosomal RNA (253 nucleotides) under uncultured bacterium. RNAcentral describes it as "partial 16S ribosomal RNA". It matches the Rfam family "Bacterial small subunit ribosomal RNA", at positions 524 to 776 of the family's 1533-position model. The record is from RNAcentral.